Molecule: long non-coding RNA, 232 nt
Organism: Arabidopsis thaliana (thale cress)
Lineage: Eukaryota; Viridiplantae; Streptophyta; Magnoliopsida; Brassicales; Brassicaceae
Product: other RNA
Exons: 1
Source: RefSeq
AUCGGGAAGCUCUCUCUAUGUCGUCGAUUGUCACGAUUCACGAAGCCCAACGUUGUCUUGAAUUAAUCAUUAGAACCGCAAAACAGAGCGAAUCUCGGUGGUGACUCGGCGGCAGAUCGAUGAGUCUUCUGUAGCGAGUUUCUUCAACGCCAUCGCUUUCAUGCAAGUCUUCAUCGCCGGAUCUUCGCACUAGCUACGACGAUUAAAUUAGAACAGAACCAUAACCGUAAGA